UACGGAGGAUCCGAGCGUUAUCCGGAUUUAUUGGGUUUAAAGGGUGCGCAGGCGGUAGAUUAAGUCGGCGGUGAAAUUUUGCAGCUCAACUGUAAAAGUGCCUUCGAAACUGGUUUCCUUGAGUGUAGAUGAAGUAGGCGGAAUUUGUGGUGUAGCGGUGAAAUGCAUAGAUAUUGGGAAGAACACCGGUGGCGAAGGCGACUUGCUGGGCAGCAACUGACGCUGAGGCGCGAAAGCCAGGGGAGCAAACGGGAUUAGAUACCCCGGUAGUCCCUGAG
RNAcentral lists this ribosomal RNA (278 nucleotides) under uncultured prokaryote. Its description in RNAcentral is "partial 16S ribosomal RNA". It matches the Rfam family "Bacterial small subunit ribosomal RNA", at positions 524 to 801 of the family's 1533-position model. The record is from RNAcentral.